UAGAGGAACAGUUCUAUUUUAUUGUAUUCUUUUCAAGUUGAGCAUUCGUCUUCCACUCUAUCGUGAUAACUGGCAUACUGAUUAGGCAGUGCUAGUAAUAGCAACAUCCACUGUCUGUUUCGAGUAGUACUGUAGUCUCAGUCUGUGUCAUCCGAAGAGCAGGAUUGCCUUGUCGUCGUGCAUACCGCAGUAGCUGCUGUCCGACACAUUUUGAUCAGAAUGGCAAAGAAAAAACAAUCCUAAAGUAAGCGUCACAAGGAGGUGGGACGUAAGCGAGAGGAGCGCUCGGCAAAGCCAGCUUUGAAACAUGAGAGACAAAGCAAGAGAGAAAACUACCUGGAAGAGGACGAUGUUGAAUUCAUCAGCUUUGCUAACCAGCUGCAGGCAAAAGGCUUGAAAAUCAAGGAUGUCCCGGGAGAUGGAAGAAUGGCAAGAAGAGAUGCUCCCAUCCGCAGUACGGCCGAAAGAAGAAGAGCAAGCCGGCACCGGCACGGAAGAGAAAAGAUUUCGCUGCGCGUGUCCUGACCCGGCUGGAGAAGGAUAAAAGUGCAUUCUUCACCAUCACGCUGAUUUCUUCAUAAAAGAUUGCCAACCUUAAACCCAUGCAGGAGGAUGUGGCCGAGCAGCAAAGCAGCAAUGUGAUGGAGAGUCGGGAUUCAAUUCUUGCGUACUUUCGUAAGAAUCAUCUCGAGUUUACAACUUUGCUGCACGCGCAGUACGCUACACUGUGCAUGCUCAUCGAGCUGCAAAGCCAGUGCAAUAAUCGGCU
Long non-coding RNA from Sycon ciliatum, 769 nucleotides. RefSeq lists it as uncharacterized. The record is from RefSeq and is a predicted model, not a curated record. NCBI's taxonomy places the organism in Eukaryota, Metazoa, Porifera, Calcarea, Leucosolenida, Sycettidae. The transcript is spliced from 3 exons.